Molecule: ribosomal RNA, 465 nt
Filed under: uncultured bacterium
Lineage: Bacteria
Description: partial 16S ribosomal RNA
Rfam family: Bacterial small subunit ribosomal RNA
Source: RNAcentral
GACGAACGCUGGCGGCGUGCUUAACACAUGCAAGUCGAACGGAAAGGCCCUGCUUGCAGGGUCCUCGAGUGGCGAACGGGUGGGUAACUCGUGGGUGAUCUGCCCUGCACUUCGGGAUAAGUCUGGGAAACUGGGUCUAAUACCGGAUAGGAGCCACUUUUAGUGUGAUGGUUUGAACGUUUUUUCGGUGUAGGAUGAGCUCGCGGCCUAUCCGCCUGUUGGUGGGGUUAUGGCCUACCAAGGCGGCGACGGGUAGGCGGCCUGAGAGGGUGGACGGCCACAUUGGGGCUGGGGUACGGCCCAGACUCCUACGGGAGGCAAGAGGGGGGAAUAUUGCACAAUGGGCGCCAGCCUGAUGCAGCGACGCCGCGUGGGGGAUGACGGCCUUCGGGGUGGAAACUCCUUUCGCGAGGGACGAAGCUUUUUGUGACGGUACCUAGAGAAGAAGCACCGGCUAACUACGUG